This 497-nucleotide ribosomal RNA is filed under the name uncultured bacterium. Its description in RNAcentral is "partial 16S ribosomal RNA". It matches the Rfam family "Bacterial small subunit ribosomal RNA", at positions 28 to 507 of the family's 1533-position model. The record is from RNAcentral.
GAUGAACGCUGGCGGCAUGCCUAAUACAUGCAAGUCGAGCGAACGGACGAGAAGCUUUUUCUUCUGAUGUUAGCGGCGGACGGGUGAGUAACACGUGCAUAAGCUACUUAUUUGUCUGGGAUAACUUCGGGAAACCGGAGCUGCUACUGGAUAAUACUUUGAACCGCAUGGUUCAAAAGUGAUAGACGGUCUUGCUGAUACUUUUAGAUGGAUCCGCGCUACAUUAGCUAGUUGGUAAGGUACCGGCUUACCAAGGCAACGAUGCGUAGCCGAUCUGAGAGGAUGAUCAGCCACACUGGAACUGAGACACGGUCCAGACUCCUACGGGAGGCAGCAGUAGGGAAUCUUCCGCAAUGGGCGAAAGCCUGACCGAGCAACGCCGCGUGAGUGAUGAAGGUCUUCGGAUCGUAAAGCUCUGUUAUUAGGGAAGAAAAUCUGUGUAAUUAACUGUGCACAUCUUGACGGUACCUAAUGAAAAAGCCACGGCUAACUACGUG